Molecule: ribosomal RNA, 253 nt
Filed under: uncultured bacterium
Lineage: Bacteria
Description: partial 16S ribosomal RNA
Rfam family: Bacterial small subunit ribosomal RNA
Source: RNAcentral
UACGAAGGGGGCUAGCGUUGCUCGGAAUCACUGGGCGUAAAGCGCACGUAGGCGGAUUGUUAAGUCGGGGGUGAAAUCCUGGAGCUCAACUCCAGAACUGCCUUCGAUACUGGCGAUCUUGAGUCCGGGAGAGGUGAGUGGAACUCCGGGUGUAGAGGUGAAAUUCGUAGAUAUUCGGAAGAACACCAGUGGCGAAGGCGGCUCACUGGCCCGGUACUGACGCUGAGGUGCGAAAGCGUGGGGAGCAUACAGG